This 612-nucleotide ribosomal RNA is filed under the name Saccharomyces cerevisiae (brewer's yeast). RNAcentral's name for it is "eukaryotic LSU rRNA". It matches the Rfam family "Eukaryotic large subunit ribosomal RNA", at positions 65 to 664 of the family's 3401-position model. The record is from RNAcentral. Lineage: Eukaryota; Fungi; Ascomycota; Saccharomycetes; Saccharomycetales; Saccharomycetaceae.
CCAACCGGGAUUGCCUUAGUAACGGCGAGUGAAGCGGCAAAAGCUCAAAUUUGAAAUCUGGUACCUUCGGUGCCCGAGUUGUAAUUUGGAGAGGGCAACUUUGGGGCCGUUCCUUGUCUAUGUUCCUUGGAACAGGACGUCAUAGAGGGUGAGAAUCCCGUGUGGCGAGGAGUGCGGUUCUUUGUAAAGUGCCUUCGAAGAGUCGAGUUGUUUGGGAAUGCAGCUCUAAGUGGGUGGUAAAUUCCAUCUAAAGCUAAAUAUUGGCGAGAGACCGAUAGCGAACAAGUACAGUGAUGGAAAGAUGAAAAGAACUUUGAAAAGAGAGUGAAAAAGUACGUGAAAUUGUUGAAAGGGAAGGGCAUUUGAUCAGACAUGGUGUUUUGUGCCCUCUGCUCCUUGUGGGUAGGGGAAUCUCGCAUUUCACUGGGCCAGCAUCAGUUUUGGUGGCAGGAUAAAUCCAUAGGAAUGUAGCUUGCCUCGGUAAGUAUUAUAGCCUGUGGGAAUACUGCCAGCUGGGACUGAGGACUGCGACGUAAGUCAAGGAUGCUGGCAUAAUGGUUAUAUGCCGCCCGUCUUGAAACACGGACCUCCUGUGUGAGGCACCCCCCCUAA